CUCAGCAAGGACGUGCAGCAGAGCCAGCUGAUGCCUGAGUGUGAGGAAGUGCACCGGGAUUCGUGGAAAAAAAAAACCUACUUGGCGUUUUUAUGGAGAUGUUGACAUCUUUAUGACGCUGAGCCACCUUGUUCAGGAAGAAGAGGUUUCUGUCAUGUCCCGCAGUGAUGGCUUCAAAAGAAGGUGAAAGAAAGAGACCUAAGGCACUCCACCAGAGGCUCCAACUCCCUAAUGUCCUUCUUUGGAUAAUUUCAUUCAACAAGUUGCAAAUUCACCUGGCCAUCUUCUCAUUCGGCCUAUUUUCUCAUCUCGUACGAGCACUUGAACACGCCAGGGCUCUGACCUCCCGGACACGGUAAGAACUCUGGCUAGUAACCGACUUACCGCAUCCCAACUUGUUUGCCGUAAAGCCCCAAGCAGCCUAAACCCCUUCCUUGAGCUGGAGAAGGAAGACAUCAGCUGAAACAGGAGGCUGCAUUCCUGCUGCUUAAUUAGCACAUCACGCACUUCAAAAUGCCUUUGGUGUCCGUUCUUUUGUUUUCCCUUUGCAGUGAUGGAGAAAUCAAGGGUCUAAGUCAAGAAACAGUAUCAGAACAAAAGUGAUAGCUGUGCACUAGUCACUUGGCGUGUUUUAAGUGUAGCUAGCCUCCUUAAGAUGUUCAUUGAGAAGUUCGAGCAAGGCAAUCCAGUGGUGCACCUGUCUCUUUCAGCUGAUACAAGAAUAAUUAAUUACAUGAAAAUGACUUCCACUGGAGGUUAAUUUAUUUUGGCUGACAGUCACAUACAUACGCAGAUAUGUCUUCGGCUGCAGUCGAAUAGAGCUUUAUUUAGAACAUUU
Long non-coding RNA from Felis catus (domestic cat), 838 nucleotides. RefSeq lists it as uncharacterized. The record is from RefSeq and is a predicted model, not a curated record. The transcript has 3 exons. Lineage: Eukaryota; Metazoa; Chordata; Mammalia; Carnivora; Felidae.